This 31-nucleotide non-coding RNA is filed under the name Rattus norvegicus (Norway rat). The record is from RNAcentral. Lineage: Eukaryota; Metazoa; Chordata; Mammalia; Rodentia; Muridae.
UGACAAAGCCCAUUAGCAAUCGGUAUUUUGU